UUUGAAAAUAAAAAUACAGAGUCGGGCCUGCCCGGUGUGUUAAUAAACGGUUGCAACGAGAGUUGUACUAAGGUAGCAUAAUAAUUUGUCUUUUGAAUGGAGAAUGGAAUGAAUGGUUUAACGUAGAAUUUCUUUUUUUAUAUAAAAAGUUGAAGUUUCCUUUUAAGUUAAAAGGCUUAAGUUUUUAAAAAAGACGAGAAGACCCUGUCGAAUUUGAUUAAGUUAGUUGAAGUUAAGUGACAAAAGUUUUAUUGGGGCAAUAUUAACUUUAGAAACAGUUAAAGUGUUUAAAGAUCCUUUAGGAAAGAAACUGGAAAAAAUUACCGCAGGGAUAACAGCGUUAUUUUCUCUGAGAGAUCUUAUUGAGGAGAGAGUUUGCGACCUCGAUGUUGGAUUAUAAAAACUUUGUGGUGUAGCAGCUACAUAAGUUAAACUGUUCGUUUUUUAAU
This 449-nucleotide ribosomal RNA is filed under the name Chionopsis intapurpurea. RNAcentral's name for it is "Puberella intapurpurea partial 16S ribosomal RNA". It matches the Rfam family "Bacterial large subunit ribosomal RNA", at positions 1830 to 2592 of the family's 2925-position model. Lineage: Eukaryota; Metazoa; Mollusca; Bivalvia; Venerida; Veneridae. The record is from RNAcentral.